AUUGAACGCUGGCGGCAUGCCUAACACAUGCAAGUCGAACGGGGGCAGCAAUGCCCUAGUGGCGGACGGGUGAGGAAUACGUAGGAACCGGCCCACGAGUGGGGGACAACCUGGGGAAACCCAGGCUAAUACCGCAUACGCUCGCGAGAGGAAGCGGGGGACCUUCGGGCCUCGCGCUGGUGGACGGGCCUACGUCCGAUUAGCUAGUUGGGUAGGGGUAAAAGCCUACCAAGGCGACGAUCGGUAGCUGGUCUGAGAGGAUGAUCAGCCACACUGGGACUGAGACACGGCCCAGACUCCUACGGGAGGCAGCAGUGGGGAAUAUUGGACAAUGGGCGCAAGCCUGAUCCAGCAAUGCCGCGUGGGUGAAGAAGGCCUGCGGGUUGUAAAGCCC
This 394-nucleotide ribosomal RNA is filed under the name uncultured bacterium. RNAcentral's name for it is "bacterial SSU rRNA". It matches the Rfam family "Bacterial small subunit ribosomal RNA", at positions 29 to 433 of the family's 1533-position model. The record is from RNAcentral.